This 600-nucleotide ribosomal RNA is filed under the name uncultured Gammaproteobacteria bacterium. RNAcentral's name for it is "bacterial SSU rRNA". It matches the Rfam family "Bacterial small subunit ribosomal RNA", at positions 54 to 650 of the family's 1533-position model. The record is from RNAcentral. Lineage: Bacteria; Pseudomonadati; Pseudomonadota; Gammaproteobacteria.
CAUGCAAGUCGUGCGAGAAAGUAUCUUCGGAUAUGAGUAGAGCGGCGGACGGGUGAGUAACGCGUAGGAAUCUACCUAGUAGAAGGGGAUAGCCCGAGGAAACUCGGAUUAAUACCGUAUACCUCCUUAGGGAGAAAGAGGGCCUCUCUUGAUGCUCUCGCUAUUAGAUGAGCCUGCGUAAGAUUAGCUUGUUGGUGAGGUAAUGGCUCACCAAGGCUACGAUCUUUAGCUGGUCUGAGAGGACGAUCAGCCACAUUGGGACUGAGACACGGCCCAGACUCCUACGGGAGGCAGCAGUGGGGAAUAUUGGACAAUGGGCGCAAGCCUGAUCCAGCCAUACCGCGUGUGUGAAGAAGGCCUUCGGGUUGUAAAGCACUUUAAGCAGGGAGAAAAAGUUAUAAGUUAAUACCUUAUAACCGUGAUGUUACCUGCAGAAUAAGCACCGGCUAAUUCCGUGCCAGCAGCCGCGGUAAUACGGAAGGUGCAAGCGUUAAUCGGAAUUACUGGGCGUAAAGCGCGCGUAGGUGGUUUGUUAAGUUGGAUGUGAAAGCCCUGGGCUCAACCUAGGAACUGCAUCCAAAACUAACUCACUAGAGUACG